AUACGUAGGGGGCGAGCGUUGUCCGGAAUGAUUGGGCGUAAAGGGCGCGUAGGCGGCCCGGUAAGUCUGGAGUGAAAGUCCUGUUUUUAAGAUGGGAAUUGCUUUGGAUACUGUCGGGCUUGAGUGCAGGAGAGGUAAGUGGAAUUCCCAGUGUAGCGGGGAAAUGCGUAGAGAUUGGGAGGAACACCAGUGGCGAAGGCGACUUACUGGACUGUAACUGACGCUGAGGCGCGAAAGUGUGGGGAGCAAACAGGAUUAGAUACCCUGGUAGUCCACACUGUAAACGAUGAAUGCUAGGUGUAGGGGGUAUCGACCCCUUCUGUGCCGCAGUCAACACAAUAAGUAUUCCGCCUGGGGAGUACGGCCGCAAGGUUGAAACUCAAAGGAAUUGACGGGG
RNAcentral lists this ribosomal RNA (397 nucleotides) under uncultured bacterium. RNAcentral's name for it is "partial 16S ribosomal RNA". It matches the Rfam family "Bacterial small subunit ribosomal RNA", at positions 523 to 918 of the family's 1533-position model. The record is from RNAcentral.